GACGAACGCUGGCGGCGUGCCUAACACAUGCAAGUCGAACGGAGAAAUUAUUUCGGUAAUUUCUUAGUGGCGAACGGGUGAGUAACACGUAAACAACCUGCCUUUUAGAUGGGGACAACAUCUCGAAAGGGAUGCUAAUACCGAGUGUUUUAGCUUUAUCGCAUGAUAGAGCUAAUAAAGGUGGCCUCUAUUUAUAAGCUACCGCUAAAAGAGGGGUUUGCGUCUGAUUAGCUAGUUGGCGGGGUAACGGCCCACCAAGGCGACGAUCAGUAGCCGGUCUGAGAGGAUGAACGGCCACAUUGGGACUGAGAUACGGCCCAGACUCCUACGGGAGGCAGCAGUGGGGAAUAUUGGGCAAUGGGGGAAACCCUGACCCAGCAACGCCGCGUGAAGGAAGAAGGCCUUCGGGUUGUAAACUUCUUUUACCAGGGACGAAGAACGUGACGGUACCUGGAGAAAAAGCAACGGCUAACUACGUG
Molecule: ribosomal RNA, 479 nt
Filed under: uncultured bacterium
Lineage: Bacteria
Description: bacterial SSU rRNA
Rfam family: Bacterial small subunit ribosomal RNA
Source: RNAcentral